RNAcentral lists this ribosomal RNA (156 nucleotides) under Dactylellina robusta. RNAcentral's name for it is "5.8S ribosomal RNA". It matches the Rfam family "5.8S ribosomal RNA". From Rfam's summary of the family: 5.8S ribosomal RNA (5.8S rRNA) is a component of the large subunit of the eukaryotic ribosome. It is transcribed by RNA polymerase I as part of the 45S precursor that also contains 18S and 28S rRNA. Lineage: Eukaryota; Fungi; Ascomycota; Orbiliomycetes; Orbiliales; Orbiliaceae. The record is from RNAcentral.
AACUUUCAACAACGGAUCUCUUGGUUCCCGCAUCGAUGAAGAACGCAGCGAAACGCGAUAGUUAAUGUGAAUUGCAGAAUUCAGUGAAUCAUCGAGUCUUUGAACGCACAUUGCGCCCAUCGGUAUUCCGUUGGGCAUGUCUGUUUGAGCGUCAUU